This 497-nucleotide ribosomal RNA is filed under the name uncultured bacterium. RNAcentral's name for it is "partial 16S ribosomal RNA". It matches the Rfam family "Bacterial small subunit ribosomal RNA", at positions 29 to 507 of the family's 1533-position model. The record is from RNAcentral.
AGUGAACGCUGGCGGUAGGCCUAACACAUGCAAGUCGAACGGCAGCACAGUAAGAGCUCGCUCCUAAGGGUGGCGAGUGGCGGAUGGGUGAGGAAUACAUCGGCAUCUACUUUUUCGUGGGGGAUAACGUGGGAAAACAUACGCUACUAGCGCAUACGACCAACGGGAUAAAUCAGGGGUUCUUCGGACCUUUGCCGUUUGAAUUAGACGAAUCCGGGCCGCAUUAGCUAGUUGGUAAGGUAACGGCCUACCAAGGCAACGAUGCGUAGCCGAUCUGAGAGGGUGAUCAGCCACACUGGAACUGAGACACGGUCCAGACUCCUACGGGAGGCAGCAGUAGGGAAUAUUGGACAAUGGGCGAAAGCCUGACCCAGCCAUACCGCGUGAGUGAUGAAGGUCUUCGGAUUGUAAAGCCCUGUUGUUAGGGAAGAAAAAAAGCAUAAUAAUCUACGGCCGUUUUGACGGUACCUAAAGAGAAAGCCACGGCUAACUUCGUG